GACGAACGCUGGCGGCGUGCUUAACACAUGCAAGUCGAACGGAAAGGCCCUGCUUUUGUGGGGUGCUCGAGUGGCGAACGGGUGAGUAACACGUGAGUAACCUGCCCUUGACUUUGGGAUAACUUCAGGAAACUGGGGCUAAUACCGGAUAGGAGCUCCUGCUGCAUGGUGGGGGUUGGAAAGUUUCGGCGGUUGGGGAUGGACUCGCGGCUUAUCAGCUUGUUGGUGGGGUAGUGGCUUACCAAGGCUUUGACGGGUAGCCGGCCUGAGAGGGUGACCGGCCACCAGGGAACGGAGACAGGGUCCAGACUCCUGCGGGAGGCAGCAGUGGGGAAGGGUGGACAAUGGGCGGAAGCCUGAUCGAGCCAUACCGCGUGGGUGAAGAAGGCCUGCGGGGUGUAAAGCUCUGUUGGUGGGAAAGAAAAGCAGCAGGAGAAUACCCCGCUGGGAUGACGGUACCCAAAGAAGAAGCACCGGCUAGCUUCGUG
RNAcentral lists this ribosomal RNA (488 nucleotides) under uncultured bacterium. RNAcentral describes it as "partial 16S ribosomal RNA". It matches the Rfam family "Bacterial small subunit ribosomal RNA", at positions 28 to 507 of the family's 1533-position model. The record is from RNAcentral.